UCAAGAAACUUCCACAAUGGGCAAAAGCCUGAUGGAGCGACGUCGCGUGAUGGACGAAGUGCUUCGGCACGUAAACAUCUUUUAUGUGGGAUGAAAUUAUUGACAGUACCACAUGAAUAAGGGGCUCCUAACUCUGUGCCAGCAGGAGCGGUAAUACAGAGGCCCCAAGCGUUAUCCGGAAUCACUGGGCGUAAAGGGUGUCGAGGCGGUUGUAUUAGUCGUUCGUAAAAUCUACGAGCUUAACUUGUAGGCGGCGAACGAAACGGUACGACUUGAGGUUUGGAGAGGUGCGUGGAACUCACGGUGUAGGGGUGAAAUCCGUUGAUAUCGUGGGGAACACCAAAGGCGAAGGCAGCGCACUGGCCAAAAUCUGACGCUCACACACGAAAGCUAGGGUAGCGAAGAGGAUUAGAUACCCCAGUAGUCCCUGAGCGGGCUGGCAAGGCGCAU
RNAcentral lists this ribosomal RNA (450 nucleotides) under uncultured bacterium. Its description in RNAcentral is "bacterial SSU rRNA". It matches the Rfam family "Bacterial small subunit ribosomal RNA", at positions 355 to 825 of the family's 1533-position model. The record is from RNAcentral.